Molecule: long non-coding RNA, 666 nt
Organism: Rhinopithecus roxellana (golden snub-nosed monkey)
Lineage: Eukaryota; Metazoa; Chordata; Mammalia; Primates; Cercopithecidae
Exons: 2
Source: RefSeq, a predicted model, not a curated record
GCCCAAGGGCCCCCGGGUCCGCCCGAGCCGGCCGCCGGGCAAGGGUCCCUGGCCCCGGACAGCGCUGGCGAGGGCGCCCCGGGACGGGACCCCCAUGCCAGCCCCGCCAGCCCCGCCAGCCCCGCCCCCCCGGGGAAGGAGCAGCCUCGGGACCUCAAGUUCAGCAUCGACUACAUCCUGUCCUCCCCAGACCCCUUCCCCGGACUCAAGCCACCCUGCCUCGCAGAGGAGGGCAGAUACGCGCGGCUGGAGAACGUGGGCCUCCACUUUUGGACAAUGUGAUGUGGGGCCUUCUGGAGGCCCCUGCAGUUCAGUCUGGGGUCUUCCCCAGACCCUCCCUGGAAAGACGGUUCCAGCCUCACCUUGAGUCAGGAAGCCAGAGUUCGACAAAUCCUACAAUUUCUCCUGCAGACAGAAGGUCAGGUGCCACACCAGGCCUGGAUUGGGGGGACAGGCGGAGGUGGAGCUCCUUAAAGAUGGAAGCAGGAGCGUGGCAGAUUUGAGAGCAACCACCAGGUCCCUGAGUGCAAACUGACCACAGAUGAGACCCUCCCCCGUACUGCUGACUGGUUGGGCGUAGCGUAGCAGCAUCCCUCCAGAGAGGCCUCCUUGGCUGACACCUGCCCUUUGCACCCAGCUGAAGUAGGACUCUUGGAAUCUGCUGUC